RNAcentral lists this ribosomal RNA (680 nucleotides) under uncultured Gammaproteobacteria bacterium. RNAcentral's name for it is "bacterial SSU rRNA". It matches the Rfam family "Bacterial small subunit ribosomal RNA", at positions 505 to 1184 of the family's 1533-position model. The record is from RNAcentral. Lineage: Bacteria; Pseudomonadati; Pseudomonadota; Gammaproteobacteria.
GUGCCAGCCGCCGCGGUAAUACGGAGGGUGCAAGCGUUAAUCGGAAUUACUGGGCGUAAAGCGUGCGUAGGUGGUUUGUUAAGUCAGAUGUGAAAGCCCCGGGCUUAACCUGGGAACUGCAUUUGAAACUGACAAACUAGAGUAUAGGAGAGGAAAGUGGAAUUUCUGGUGUAGCGGUGAAAUGCGUAGAUAUCAGAAGGAACAUCAAUGGCGAAGGCAGCUUUCUGGACUAAUACUGACACUGAGGUACGAAAGCGUGGGUAGCAAACAGGAUUAGAUACCCUGGUAGUCCACGCCGUAAACGAUGAUAACUAGCCGUUGGGAGGGUUUACCUCUUAGUGGCGAAGCUAACGCGUUAAGUUAUCCGCCUGGGGAGUACGGCCGCAAGGUUAAAACUCAAAGGAAUUGACGGGGACCCGCACAAGCGGUGGAGCAUGUGGUUUAAUUCGAUGCAACGCGAAGAACCUUACCUGGUCUUGACAUACAGAGAACUUUCUAGAGAUAGAUUGGUGCCUUCGGGAACUCUGAUACAGGUGCUGCAUGGCUGUCGUCAGCUCGUGUCGUGAGAUGUUGGGUUAAGUCCCGUAACGAGCGCAACCCUUAUCCUUAUUUGCCAGCACUUUCGGGUGGGAACUAUAGGGAGACUGCCGGUGAUAAACCGGAGGAAGGCGGGGACGACG